CUCGCCGGUGCGCCGACGGGUGGCCGGGCCACCCCGCGGCUCGGGGCGCCCCACGGGGAAAGCCGGUGGCGGGGCCGCCACGGGCAACCCCCCCCCAGGGGAACGCAAACAAAAGAAAAGGGGCGGGCGAGAAAGACAGGAAAAGAAAAACGCGCCACAGAGAGCCACCAAGGCAGCGAGCCACCCCAAAGGCGAAAAAAGGAGGGGCGCUCCUUUCGCGCGCCCUGGAGCAGGCCAUCCCCGCCCCCUGGCGCAAGAAAAACCAGCGCGGGCCGGCGCAAACUACCCCCGCCACGAAAAGCCGAAAACCGCCAAGCCCGCGCGGCCCCCACCCCCCAACGCAAGCACCCCGCCGCGCGAAAAGCAAGCACCCACGAACCCCAGAGAAACCGCGAACACCCCCGCCGCCAAACAGCAGCCGAACACGACAUCACCCCACCAAAGCCCCCAAAGACCGCCGAAGACCCCCGCCACCAGCACCAAACGGCACCCGGCCACGCUGGCCGCCCCCGCGCUGGGCUCCUACGCCGAAAGCCCAAAAGGCCCCGACAGCGCCCGCCGACCAAACCCCCUUCAUCCGCAGAGCGCCCCUUUCCUAGAGCGCACGCCUUUUUCUUCACCGGAAAUCCCCUAUCCAGCAGAAAAAAGGCGGCUCUGCUGCCCCCGAAACGCGGCCAUUCCAAAAGCCCCCCUUUUACGCCGGACCACCCCUCGUGUCGCCAGGGUCAGGCACCUACGACGUAGCGAAGUCAGAGCGAUUUAUCGCUACGGGUGUCGGCGGUCAUGUCCUGGAUGGCGCUGCGUGGGGGAGGCCUGCAGCCGUGAACGUGUUUGUGCGAACCAUAUGAUGGGCAGUAUGCCGCCCUGACCCGAACGUAUCUCACCCGGCCCUCACCGCGCCCUGGCUCGGGGAGCCCGAGGCGCCCCGAGGGAUGCGCGACGUGGCGACCGGGCACAAGGCGAGCGGCCGUGAGGCGCCCUUGCGGGGCGGGGAGGGCGGGUAGAGGGUCUGGGGCGGAGGCCGCGCUUCGCUGACUGGGUCGGCGCAUUUCUGCAGCGGCGCGUGUCUACGGCUGCUUGGCG
RNAcentral lists this unclassified non-coding RNA (1083 nucleotides) under Leishmania donovani. Its description in RNAcentral is "gene:unknown". Lineage: Eukaryota; Euglenozoa; Kinetoplastea; Trypanosomatida; Trypanosomatidae. The record is from RNAcentral.